AAGUCUAAUUUUAGAGACCUCAACCUACUUAAAAUUUAAUAACCUUCAAUUUAAGUGUUUGAUCAAGUUCAAACUUAUAACAUAAAUUUUUGACAACUAUUCUCAUAAGUUAUCAAAAUUUGAACCAUAGAUCUAUUAACAAACUCAUGAAAUUCUCUAAAACAUAAUAUCCUUUUUAUUUCACAACUUCUAAAAUCAACCAAAAUAACUAUGACUUUGCAAAGCUCUUACAAAAUCAUCACACACUCAAAUCACUCAAAAUCAAUGUUCAAAU
RNAcentral lists this long non-coding RNA (274 nucleotides) under Physcomitrium patens. Its description in RNAcentral is "long non-coding RNA (PPAT_LNC010394)". Lineage: Eukaryota; Viridiplantae; Streptophyta; Bryopsida; Funariales; Funariaceae. The record is from RNAcentral.